Molecule: long non-coding RNA, 607 nt
Organism: Temnothorax curvispinosus
Lineage: Eukaryota; Metazoa; Arthropoda; Insecta; Hymenoptera; Formicidae
Exons: 3
Source: RefSeq, a predicted model, not a curated record
GUGUAUGCGUGCGCGUGCACGCUUUCGGCGAUACGAGGCGAGUCCCGGACGACUCCAACGAGGAAUUGUACGUACGUACGUAUGUACAUGCGAGGGUAACGCCUGAAACCCGUGCCUCGUAUAUUCGUUUCUUACCCGAAAUCCCGUGCGCGAGCUAUGGAAUGGAGUAGCUACACUAGCUACGUUCGCGGCGUAGUAGCAAUCGGAGUUACGUUUCUCGAUCGCGACAAAAUUCGUUGUACUCGACGUUACCAGAUGCUGACCGUAGCACUGAUAAGGUCAGACCAGUAUACGUCGAGUUAACUCGCAUUUGGCAACGUGUCAGUGUCAAAAUCUAUCUGCAAUGAAGCAAAUUUCAAUAGUUUAAAUUUCCAUCGCUCUCAAAACUUCUACGGAUACGCAGUUUCGGUGCUCGUUGGUCAUGACCGAGAUACUUAUUUACGCGCAGAAAGAUUCAUCUCGCAGGUAAGUCUCGACAAAAUUGUUCCGCACGUUUAUCCUGAUGAAAUUGUUUCCACGGAAUCUCGAUUUAUGCUAAUUGGCUAAUGUGGCGACUCAUAUAAGGCGAUCGAGAUACGAUUAGUCAGGUAGGCCAAAAGUCUUUCGA